AAAGCCUUUCUCGGUGCCGUUCAGACCUGACGCUGCCUCUUCUCCAAGCACAUCAGUCGGAGAUCCUGACCCUGCCAUUGGCUCUGCAUGGGCACAUUAGAGUUACACGUGGGCACAAAGUCCUGAACAUGCAGAUCCUGUUGCCAAAUGAGGUACAGAUAAGACAGAUCCGACAUAUAAAAUGCCAAGGUCUAGAGGCUGCUCCUAUAGCAGCCAGCAGUAAAGCUCCCAGCACUUUUCAUGGUGCAGUCAGGGCCCACAUGGGAGGACUACGAAUGCUGUUUCCAGUCGUACAGACCCACAGUGAGCAGACUCACCAUGGAGAAGGAAAAGCCGGGCAGAGCGGUCCAUACAGCGGGACGCCCCUCUGCCUCGCCCGUCUCCGGAAAACCGAAGGGAGUAACUCUAUUGUGAAGAAGAAAACACAGCACGUUUGACGCUGCCCUGGCUUUGAAUACUUACAAUGCUGACUGAAAGGAGCCGUGCUAUUCAUAUUAGAACAGCUAAUUAAAAUGUAAACAGUGUUGCUUUUAA
Alligator mississippiensis (American alligator) is the source of this 534-nucleotide long non-coding RNA. RefSeq lists it as uncharacterized. NCBI's taxonomy places the organism in Eukaryota, Metazoa, Chordata, Crocodylia, Alligatoridae. The record is from RefSeq and is a predicted model, not a curated record. The transcript has 2 exons.